This is a long non-coding RNA of Brassica napus (rape), 636 nucleotides long. RefSeq lists it as uncharacterized. The transcript is spliced from 4 exons. The record is from RefSeq and is a predicted model, not a curated record. NCBI's taxonomy places the organism in Eukaryota, Viridiplantae, Streptophyta, Magnoliopsida, Brassicales, Brassicaceae.
GGCGUUAAUCAACUUGUAUAGAUCAUUAAGGUUUUGGGAACACCACCAACAAAGGGAAGAAAUAUAUCAAAUGCAUUCAAUACUGUCCCAGUCUCCGUUCUCGAUACAUUGGUCCACCCGUUCUUUGAUGAGCUUAGAGAUCCCCUAAUGCACGUUUCUUUCCUUCCACCACUAUUCAACUUCAAGCCUCAUGAGCUUAAAGGUGUGCGCGUGCCCGUGGAGAUAAUGGCUAAGUUAGUACCUGAACAUGCAGAGGAAGCAGGGUCCAUGGCUCGGUUUGUGAUUUUAUCUGCUGUUAACUUGAUUUUCUUUUCUCUUGGGCUUUGAACAUUCUCAUAUUACUAUUAUUACAUUAUGAAUAUUGUAUAUUUCUUUUGUUAUCAUACAAUUAGUACCCAAUUAGCUCCUUUAUACAGUUGGGAUGGUAAAAAGCCUUUAAAAUUUUGAAUCUACCAGGCUCGGUCUAAGAUCUCAGGUAACAGAUUAUCUGCAUCUUGGAAGGGAUCAAACUCUGGUGUAUUGAUAGAUUAGUCACUAGUCAAAUCCAAUCAGGUUUAAACUCAUGAUGCAGUAAUAGUCAAAACUUUAUAAAACCAUACAUACGAGUAUAUAAACCCCUCAACGGGUGAAAAACAA